AAUAGAUACCCGGGUAGUCCACGCCGUAAACGAUGAGUGCUAAGUGUUAGAGGGUUUCCGCCCUUUAGUGCUGCAGCUAACGCAUUAAGCACUCCGCCUGGGGAGUACGGCCGCAAGGCUGAAACUCAAAGGAAUUGACGGGGGCCCGCACAAGCGGUGGAGCAUGUGGUUUAAUUCGAAGCAACGCGAAGAACCUUACCAGGUCUUGACAUCCUCUGCCAACCCUAGAGAUAGGGCAUUCCCCUUCGGGGGACAGAGUGACAGGUGGUGCAUGGUUGUCGUCAGCUCGUGUCGCGAGAUGUUGGGUUAAGUCCCGCAACGAGCGCAACCCUUGAUCUUAGUUGCCAGCAUUCAGUUGGGCACUCUAAGGUGACUGCCGGUGACAAACCGGAGGAAGGUGGGGAUGACGUCAAAUCAUCAUGCCCCUUAUGACCUGGGCUACACACGUGCUACAAUGGAUGGUACAAAGAGCUGCGAACCCGUGAGGGUAAGCGAAUCUCAUAAAGCCAUUCUCAGUUCGGAUUGU
RNAcentral lists this ribosomal RNA (526 nucleotides) under uncultured bacterium. RNAcentral's name for it is "bacterial SSU rRNA". It matches the Rfam family "Bacterial small subunit ribosomal RNA", at positions 777 to 1301 of the family's 1533-position model. The record is from RNAcentral.